AGACAUUAAAGCUUGAGACCGGAGUUUGUGUUGAGCACAGUCACGCGGUGAGAGGGAAAACGGACAGAAUGAUUGGGUAUUUGCAGCUGUAUUGGCGUGGUCUUGUUAAAGCUCUCACAAAAUCAGCUCUCUACCCCCUGUGAAAGGAGACAGGAUCAUCUGUGAACUUCCUUUGGUCUUACCUAACACAUUUCUAUUGGGCUAUUAUUCAGUACUUUAUGAGGGAUGCUGUUAAAGAGGCAUGUCAAGGACAGAAAACAGUGAAAGUUACUCUUUUUCUCUCUUUUAAUUUAUCCUCACUUCAGAUCUAAUUGUGCUUUACAUAAAACAUACAUUUUAACAUAACAUCCCAACUAUACCUGUGAAUAAAAAGGUUGAAUGAUGUAUUAAUAUUUCUGUCCUCGAGAUUCUGCAAAGACACAUUUGACAGGACAUGAAAGGUGACUAUUGGAGUGGAUUUAGAGAUGGAGAGAUUUCAGGGUGCCCUUCAGUUUGCAGUUGUGGGACACAGCAGGUCAGGAAAGAUUCAGAUGUGUUGCAUCCACAUACUACAGCUCAAGGGAGCUCAAGCCGUCAUUGUUGUGUUUGACCUGAGCAAUUAUAACUCUUUGGAUCAUGCAAGAGUGGCUUAAGGAUGCCAUGAGAGACAAUGACCCUUCUAGCGUUCUCCUCUUCCUCGUGGGAACCAAGAAGGAUCUUAGUCACCCGAUCAGUUGGCCCAAAUGGAGCACGAGUGCCAUUCGACUCUUUGAGGAGAUCAGAGCAGAGUAUUGGGCCGUGUCUGCACUGUCAGGGAGAGAAACAUGUCUAAAAGACUUUAGACGGCAGCUGUUUUGAUUGCAAUCAAGCUAUUUUGUGUGUCUAAGCUGAUGUCAGAAAUAAAAUCUGGAUGUUUUCAUAAAUACUUUAGUCACAUAAGAAAAUUCAGUAAGAACAGUAUUAUUGUGAGUUAUCAUGAUUCAUUAUAUUAAUUAUUUUA
Long non-coding RNA from Carassius auratus (goldfish), 979 nucleotides. RefSeq lists it as uncharacterized. The transcript has 7 exons. The record is from RefSeq and is a predicted model, not a curated record. NCBI's taxonomy places the organism in Eukaryota, Metazoa, Chordata, Actinopteri, Cypriniformes, Cyprinidae.